This 71-nucleotide transfer RNA is filed under the name Loxodonta africana (African savanna elephant). It matches the Rfam family "tRNA". From Rfam's summary of the family: Transfer RNA (tRNA) molecules are approximately 80 nucleotides in length. Their secondary structure includes four short double-helical elements and three loops (D, anti-codon, and T loops). The record is from Rfam by way of RNAcentral. Lineage: Eukaryota; Metazoa; Chordata; Mammalia; Proboscidea; Elephantidae.
GCAGUGGUAGUUCAGAGGUAGAAUUCUUGCCUUCCAUGCAGGAGAUCUGGGUUCGAUUCCUGGCCAGUGCA